RNAcentral lists this ribosomal RNA (263 nucleotides) under uncultured Actinomycetes bacterium. RNAcentral describes it as "uncultured actinobacterium partial 16S ribosomal RNA". It matches the Rfam family "Bacterial small subunit ribosomal RNA", at positions 28 to 276 of the family's 1533-position model. The record is from RNAcentral. Lineage: Bacteria; Bacillati; Actinomycetota; Actinomycetes.
GACGAACGCUGGCGGCGUGCUUAACACAUGCAAGUCGAACGCGCUUGGCCUUUUUUGGGGUUGGGUGAGUGGCGAACGGGUGAGUAACACGUGGGUGACCUGCCUUGAGCUCUGGGAUAAGCCUGGGAAACUGGGUCUAAUACUGGAUAUGACCAAUUCUUGCAUGGGGGUUGUGGAAAGUUUUGUUCUUUGUUGGACAUUUCGGCUCGAGAUGGGGCCCGCGGCCUAUCAGCUUGUUGGUGGGUGAUGGCUUACCAAGGCGA